This 320-nucleotide small RNA is filed under the name Histoplasma capsulatum var. duboisii H88. RNAcentral's name for it is "Histoplasma capsulatum H88 hypothetical RNA". The record is from RNAcentral. Lineage: Eukaryota; Fungi; Ascomycota; Eurotiomycetes; Onygenales; Ajellomycetaceae.
GGCUAGAGCUGGUUUCACGCAGCGCAAAUAUCAAUCCUACCGUGGACGUACAGUAGUUACCCUCUAAAGUAUAGUAAGCAUUGGAAGCAGGCACACAACUCCCCAGACGCUGCUGUUGCUUCAUAAAAGCCAGGGGAAGCAUCCUCGUACUGGCCGUCCAUUCCGCUAUGAAAAACCAAGGUGAUAAAACCAUUUCAGCACACGGGCUUCAAAUGAAACCCAAAGAGUUGGAAGUCAUGGCGCCGUUCCUGGAUUUUUGCUACUACCGUCGUUUUAGUAGUCCGCACAGGAAAAAAAAUCAAGACUGUCGUCGAGUUAGC